GGUUUGCUGGAGGUAUCAGAAGUGCGAAUGCUGACAUGAGUAACGACAAAGGGGGUGAAAAACCUCCUCGCCGGAAGACCAAGGGUUCCUGUCCAACGUUAAUCGGGGCAGGGUGAGUCGACCCCUAAGGUGAGGCCGAAAGGCGUAAUCGAUGGGAAACGGGUUAAUAUUCCCGUACUUCUGACUAUUGCGAUGGGGGGACGGAGAAGGCUAGGUGGGCCAGGCGACGGUUGUCCUGGUUCAAGUGCGUAGGCUUGAGAGUUAGGUAAAUCCGGCUCUCUCUAAGGCUGAGACACGACGUCGAGCUACUACGGUAGUGAAGUCAUUGAUGCCAUGCUUCCAGGAAAAGCCUCUAAGCUUCAGAUAGUCAGGAAUCGUACCCCAAACCGACACAGGUGGUCGGGUAGAGAAUACCAAGGCGCUUGAGAGAACUCGGGUGAAGGAACUAGGCAAAAUGGUACCGUAACUUCGGGAGAAGGUACGCUCUUGAUGGUGAAGUCCCUCGCGGAUGGAGCUGACGAGAGUCGCAGAUACCAGGUGGCUGCAACUGUUUAUUAAAAACACAGCACUGUGCAAAAUCGCAAGAUGACGUAUACGGUGUGACGCCUGCCCGGUGCCGGAAGGUUAAUUGAUGGGGUUAGCGCAAGCGAAGCUCUUGAUCGAAGCCCCGGUAAACGGCGGCCGUAACUAUAACGGUCCUAAGGUAGCGAAAUUCCUUGUCGGGUAAGUUCCGACCUGCACGAAUGGCGUAAUGAUGGCCACGCUGUCUCCACCCGAGACUCAGUGAAAUUGAAAUCGCUGUGAAGAUGCAGUGUACCCGCGGCUAGACGGAAAGACCCCGUGAACCUUUACUACAGCUUGGCACUGAACAUUGAACCUACAUGUGUAGGAUAGGUGGGAGGCUAUGAAGACGUGACGCCAGUUGCGUUGGAGCCGUCCUUGAAAUACCACCCUUGUAUGUUUGAUGUUCUAACUUAGACCCAUUAUCUGGGUUGAGGACAGUGCCUGGUGGGUAGUUUGACUGGGGCGGUCUCCUCCCAAAGAGUAACGGAGGAGCACGAAGGUGGGCUAAUCACGGUUGGACAUCGUGAGGUUAGUGCAAUGGCAUAAGCCCGCUUAACUGCGAGAAUGACGGUUCGAGCAGGUGCGAAAGCAGGUCAUAGUGAUCCGGUGGUUCUGUAUGGAAGGGCCAUCGCUCAACGGAUAAAAGGUACUCCGGGGAUAACAGGCUGAUACCGCCCAAGAGUUCAUAUCGACGGCGGUGUUUGGCACCUCGAUGUCGGCUCAUCACAUCCUGGGGCUGAAGUCGGUCCCAAGGGUAUGGCUGUUCGCCAUUUAAAGUGGUACGCGAGCUGGGUUUAGAACGUCGUGAGACAGUUCGGUCCCUAUCUGCCGUGGGCGUUGGAAGAUUGAAGGGGGCUGCUCCUAGUACGAGAGGACCGGAGUGGACGAACCUCUGGUGUUCGGGUUGUGUCGCCAGACGCAUUGCCCGGUAGCUAAGUUCGGAAUUGAUAAGCGCUGAAAGCAUCUAAGCGCGAAGCGAGCCCUGAGAUGAGUCUUCCCUGACAGUUUAACUGUCCUAAAGGGUUGUUCGAGACUAGAACGUUGAUAGGCAGGGUGUGUAAGCGUUGUGAGGCGUUGAGCUAACCUGUACUAAUUGCCCGUGAGGCUUAACCAU
This 1678-nucleotide ribosomal RNA is filed under the name Vibrio cholerae. Its description in RNAcentral is "bacterial LSU rRNA". It matches the Rfam family "Bacterial large subunit ribosomal RNA", at positions 1267 to 2925 of the family's 2925-position model. The record is from RNAcentral. Lineage: Bacteria; Pseudomonadati; Pseudomonadota; Gammaproteobacteria; Vibrionales; Vibrionaceae.